GAGGGUACAGCUCAGUGGUAGAGCGCAUGCUCAACAUGCACAAGGUCCUGGGUUCAAUCCCCAAGUACCUCUA
Molecule: transfer RNA, 73 nt
Filed under: Camelus bactrianus (Bactrian camel)
Lineage: Eukaryota; Metazoa; Chordata; Mammalia; Artiodactyla; Camelidae
Also listed under: 2 other names
Rfam family: tRNA
About the family: Transfer RNA (tRNA) molecules are approximately 80 nucleotides in length.
Source: Rfam by way of RNAcentral